CUGGUCUUGAACUCCUUCCUGACCUCAAGUGAUCUGCCAACCUUGGCCUCCCAAAGUGCUGGGAUUACAGGCAUGAGACACUGCGCCUGGCCAAAACUGUUGAUUUAUAUUGUUAGAGUCAGACAUUUUCUGUGUGCCAACCCCUACUCAUCUGCUUUUCAAAUUUCCAAUUUCCACACAUUGAUUUUAUAUUAUAUUUGGCAUGUUAAACACUAGUAUUGGUUUCACUGAAUGGUAAUAUAAAUGCUGAGGAGCUCGGACAUCUUAGGAAUAUGGUUGUCAUUUAUCAUCUAUUAACCAGUUGAGCAACUUCCAGGCAAAUGAGGUGUGCAGCAGGGAGGGGGGAGAUGUACGUGCAUGGUUUCCUUUGUAAUGGAGAACUUCAGAUCCUGGGAAGGAUUUGCAGCGUUUCGUGGGUCUGUUCAUCUCUCUGCAGUUAAUAAUUACUGAUUCGUGUGUGAAGCAGAACUGAGGGCAGCGAAGGAUGUGGGAUGGCUGCAGGAGAUAUGAGUUUGUAGCCAGAGUUUACAGGUGAUGCAUCACUCUCUGAUCAAAGCAGAAAGCUGGGAGCUGCGGAGGAUGCACCUUGACCCUAGGGUGCGAUCCAGGAAGUCAGGGAUUUGUGAAGGGCAUCAUACGUCACAGAUGCCCUUUCAGAGUUACCAGAACUUGGGGUCCAAUGGACAUUUAUCUCUCUUAGUCCAGGUUCAGGUUUGAUUCCCGAUCCCUUGCAUUUACACGAGUCACAGGGCAGAAAAGUGCAGACCUGUUCUUGUGUGACCUCCAGGUGUGGUGCACUGAUGGUAGAUGGUACUCUUAUCAUUAGAGCUGAUUUGCUUUGGAAUUAAAGAGAGACUUAACACUGUGCUUCUGUGGCCGAUCACAGUUUCCACUGACAGUGCCAUGUGUCAUUUGGGGUAACAUUGGCUUGUGUGAGGAAAAGACCAUAAGGCAGGAUUGGAGUAGUUUCUGGAAAAAAGAAAUAAAUGCUUAGUAGGGUGUCAUACGUCUUUUAAUGACAAGUAUUUGAUGAACAUGCUUUUGUUAUCCACCCUUCUGCAGGAAAAGAAACCAAGUUAGUCUUCCUAAGUUUACAGAUUGGAGGGUUUUUAGUACAACCUGUCUUUCCCCCUCUCCCUUCUUCCUCUUUUCCUAUUAUAGUUAAGAGGGUGAAAUUUAGGUGCAAAAUGAUACUGUUAAAAUUUAGUGACUUUUGCUCAUCUGUUGCUAAAAAAGUUAAUAAUGUGAUUUUUUUAACUUGGACUGAUUUUGAUAUAAUGCAGGGGGUUUCUAUAAAUAGAUUUGUUUUUAAUGUAAUUGACAACUCCAUAAGUUACUUUACAGAAAUUUAAAUUUCUCUAGAAAUUACAGCAGUAUACACUGCAUACAUUCUCCUUUAAGCAAAAUUGACAGAAAACAAUUUACUCCUCUGUUAGGAACUUGCUUUUCCCUCACUUGCUCAUCUCGUGAUGGGGAAGCAUGUAUUGUCUCAUGUAAUUGACCUCCUGAGCCGUAUGGCACCCUCGAGUGAAUCAGGUACAAACAGCCUCUGCCCAGGCAUUUUCUUAAUGUCCACAAAGGCUCACUGACUUCAGAUUAGCUAUUUGUGUUCUUUAACUUGUUGCCACAAUUUAAAACCAGGUCAGCAUUUUCUGCACAGAGCGAUCAUAGGCAGCACCUCAUCUGCUGUGCUCGGCCUCUUUGUCACGCGUUCCACAGAGGGGCGUGAAGCACGAGGCCCAUGUGCCUUCGCCAUUUUGCAGGGUUGUUCUGGGACAAAGUGAUAGGGUUUUUGGCUUGAACAAAACAUCUACGUUCUUCGUUCUUAGGGAGCGACAGUUCCACUGCCGAGAUGUGGACAUCACUUUUCUUCAAGCUUGUGUGCCGCUCAUAUCCACUGCUAUUCACUUGCACAAUAUUUUUUUCCUAAGAUUGGAAACUACAUUUUGAUAAUGCUGGCAGUGAGGGUGCAAGGAAAGAAAUUACCUGUUUUUAUAAACACAUAGCAACUGACAUUUUUUUUUGACGUUUAAAAGCUGUAUUUAAGGAAGAUCUCAUAGAAAGUUUUAAUAUUUCAGAAUGAAAAAAGGUCUUAAAUUUGUUAGCCAAAUAGCAAACGAAUUCAUUCAACCAAAAGACUUAUUGAACAUCCCUGAGUAAAGGUGUAUGUGUUAGGAAAUGUGCUUCCUGGAUGAACACAACAGAGGCAUCCCUCCCUCAUGAUACCCACAGUCUAGGGAGUGACAGGCAAUAAUUAAGUAACUUUUAAAAAUCUAUAGCUGUAAACUAAAGCAAACUAUGGCAAGUCCAUGGAAAGAGAGGUUAGAGCCUAGAGAGAGGGGAACCAGAUGGAGCCGGGGUCAGGGGCUGCCAGACACACACAGUGGCCUAAGGGCGGGAAGGGGCCCCACUGGAAGCCUUAAAUAAGUGUCUGUAUAGAAUGGAUGCAUGUGAAUGAAGAAGAGAAGGUUGCACUUUGUGCAUUGUGAUGUCCAAGGUGUCCCGGAGCCAGUUUCUCCACUUUCUUUUUCGCUUCUUUGUCAUGGCUGGCAGUUGGGCCCUCGUUCUGUGCAUCAGCUUCACCAUCAAAAGCAAAUGAAAAAGAGAAGGGAAUGGAAUGCUCACUUUCUAGACCUUACUUUAAAUUCUGUUGAAGAUUUAUGAAUAUUUGGGAGAGAGUUUGAAAUGAUAAUCCAAAAGAUGUCUCCCUUUGAACAUAUGUAGAAGUUGAUCAUUUAGAUUAACUUGCAUUUGAACGCUUAAUUGUAUGUGAUUGUAUACAUUUUUUGGCUCACAGUUUUGUGUUCAAAGGCAGACUUCCUAAGGUAGUGCUGAUUUAUCCUGCUUCUUUUAGGCUAUAUAAUUCACUUUUAAAAAAAUUAAUUUGGGGAAAAUGAUGGUCACUAUAGUUAUAUAUUUUUUUCUUUAAAAACUUGUGACAUUUUAUUAAGUUAUCCACCCAAAUCUUCCUCCCCAAAAAUAACAUAAUAUCUUU
This is a long non-coding RNA of Sapajus apella (tufted capuchin), 2995 nucleotides long. RefSeq lists it as uncharacterized. Lineage: Eukaryota; Metazoa; Chordata; Mammalia; Primates; Cebidae. The record is from RefSeq and is a predicted model, not a curated record. The transcript has 2 exons.